CCUACGGGAGGCAGCAGUGGGGAAUUUUGGACAAUGGGGGCAACCCGUGAUCCAGCAAUGCCGCGUGAGUGAAGAAGGCCUUCGGGUUGUAAAGCUCUUUUGUCAGGGAAGAAACGGUAGUAGCGAAUAACUAUUACUAAUGACGGUACCUGAAGAAUAAGCACCGGCUAACUACGUGCCAGCAGCCGCGGUAAUACGUAGGGUGCAAGCGUUAAUCGGAAUUACUGGGCGUAAAGCGUGCGCAGGCGGUUGUGUAAGUCAGAUGUGAAAUCCCCGGGCUCAACCUGGGAAUUGCAUUUGAGACUGCACGGCUAGAGUGUGUCAGAGGGGGGUAGAAUUCCACGUGUAGCAGUGAAAUGCGUAGAUAUGUGGAGGAAUACCGAUGGCGAAGGCAGCCCCCUGGGAUAACACUGACGCUCAUGCACGAAAGCGUGGGGAGCAAACAGGAUUAGAUACCCUGUAGUCCACGCCCUAAACGAUGUCUACUAGUUGUCGGGUCUUAAUUGUACUAGUACGUCAGCUACGCGUGAGUAGACGCCGUCGGGAGGUACGGUCGCGAGAAGUAAACGUAACGAAGAAGUAGUACGCGUGAGACGAGCGACGGACGACGACGAGGGAGGAGG
RNAcentral lists this ribosomal RNA (623 nucleotides) under uncultured bacterium. RNAcentral describes it as "bacterial SSU rRNA". The stretch from base 1 to 539 matches the Rfam family "Bacterial small subunit ribosomal RNA", at positions 338 to 873 of the family's 1533-position model. The record is from RNAcentral.